Mastomys coucha (southern multimammate mouse) is the source of this 365-nucleotide long non-coding RNA. RefSeq lists it as uncharacterized. The transcript is spliced from 3 exons. The record is from RefSeq and is a predicted model, not a curated record. Lineage: Eukaryota; Metazoa; Chordata; Mammalia; Rodentia; Muridae.
GCGGCGGUCACCUGGCGCGGGCUGCGCUCACUGGGAUGCGGGCUUGUCGCUGAGCAGGGCGGUGCUUCCGUCGCUUCCGGUUCUGUCCAGUUUCUGAAGGCCCAUCCCAGAUGAAGCCUCAUCUCUCCUCUCCUGCCCCCUUUGCAGCAGCUCAACAGAAGAGUCGCCUCUCCUGAAGCUCUUGUUAAAGGCUUAUACAACCGUUUGAGCAGCUGGAGACAUCAGAACUCUCUGUGAUCCCUGAAUCUUCUCACCUUCUAUAAGGAAUGGCAAGCUAACACCCCCAUUUAUCCUUCCCUUUAUCCACUUUCCCUGCCUCAUCAGAGCUCAGCGGAGGACAGAAAGCAUUUGUAGUCUCCUCCUGC